AAAGCCAUAGCCUCACCCCUCGCCAGCUCAAAGAUGCCCUUAGAGCUAUUGCUAGCCCCUCUGCCUUAUCACCUCCCCCAGGACCCCGCCCAUAAGCAACAAGCUGCGUCUCCACAUCUAAGCAGAAAUCGAGACAAGAGGAGUUUAUAAAUCUUGUCUUCACCGAGGUAUGAACUCUGUCCAGACUUUGCGCAUUCUCGUGCUUAGUCCCUUCCGAGUCUGGGAUAUCCCACCGAGACCAAAAACGCUGUUCCUAAAAGACCCAAGUAAACUCCGCCUCCAGGGAACGGAAUUGCCUUGGAACUAUUCUUCAGACUCCGCCCCUUCACUGAGCUCAGGCCGGCAGAAGAACUACCCCCAGGCAUCUGACCACUCAGCUCUUCGGUAUUUCUUGAAACCCUGUCAUGCAUCAGAAAAAGUGGCCAGAGACAGCAGGAAGAAUCCGUACUGAAGUGCAGACUUAAGGGUUUUGGAAAGUCGUUGUGCUGGAAGGUGUUGGCUGGGGCAAACUUGUGAAGGAGCGGUCUCCUGAAGUGGACACAGGUGAGAGCCUAAGGCAGACUCGUGAAGGAACGGUUAUCUGAAGCAGACACAGGUGAAAGGAUGUUCUGUUAAAGCAAGCGCGUGAGAGGACACGUGAUGAAGGAGUCUUCACUAACAACAGGCAUGCAUUGGCCCGCCUUACAUUGCUUGGUUGAGCUUCACUUGUUGAGCCUCCAUAGAGAGAAACAUGCCAAAAAACCUUCUGGUGCUGUGCUGCAGGCUCUUGCUGGUUCUUUGGACUCGGACUGAUUGGCAGAGUGAUGUCAGCUGAGACAGACAAACAUGGUGAGGCAAGACACAUGGAGGACACUUGAUGAUAAAUAGGACUUGAUGGACAGUGGUGGAGGCUGGACUAAGCUUGCUUAUAGAGCUAGUUGUGCAACGCUUGUGGGUCUCAUGUCUUCAGUGAUCGUCACUCUGCUGAGAGAGGCACAGCUGAGUACUCCUCCUGCUUCCCCUACUGACUUACACCGAGGCUCACGCCUGGCUAUCUCUGCUAGGUCGUGUCACCGCUGUUGCUAACCCGACUCUACCAAACUGGUGUAUCUGUGAAGUGUUUCAAGUGGAUCUAGCUGCCACUGUCUUCUAGCCUGUGAACUCAAUUGCUGAUUUCCAGACAACAUAGACUGGAGUCCCUCCAAAGAACCUUUCUAAACAGGUCCACUCCCCACCAUACCCUUUCUUUCCCACUACCUCUGGUGGGUGGUGGGCUAAAGGGGAAGUUAAAGCAUUUAAGAACCAUCAUUAAAAAUGAGGUUUGAAAAAGUUAAAGUUAUACCCUAAAGCAAGACCACUCUGGGCACUGGUGGGUGUCUGUCUUAGUUAGGGUUUUUGUUUCUGUAAUAAAACACCUUCACCAAAA
Mus musculus (house mouse) is the source of this 1405-nucleotide long non-coding RNA. RefSeq lists it as uncharacterized. Lineage: Eukaryota; Metazoa; Chordata; Mammalia; Rodentia; Muridae. The record is from RefSeq and is marked validated. The transcript is spliced from 2 exons.